GGAUUAGAUACCCUGGUAGUCCACGCCCUAAACGAUGUCUACUAGUUGUCGGGUCUUAAUUGACUUGGUAACGCAGCUAUCGCGUGAAGUAGACCGCCUGGGGAGUACGGUCGCAAGAUUAAAACUCAAAGGAAUUGACGGGGACCCGCACAAGCGGUGGAUGAUGUGGAUUAAUUCGAUGCAACGCGAAAAACCUUACCUACCCUUGACAUGGAUGGAAUCCCGAAGAGAUUUGGGAGUGCUCGAAAGAGAACCAUCACACAGGUGCUGCAUGGCUGUCGUCAGCUCGUGUCGUGAGAUGUUGGGUUAAGUCCCGCAACGAGCGCAACCCUUGUCAUUAGUUGCUACGAAAGGGCACUCUAAUGAGACUGCCGGUGACAAACCGGAGGAAGGUGGGGAUGACGUCAAGUCCUCAUGGCCCUUAUGGGUAGGGCUUCACACGUCAUACAAUGGUACAUACAGAGGGCCGCCAACCCGCGAGGGGGAGCUAAUCCCAGAAAGUGUAUCGUAGUCCGGAUUGGAGUCUGCAACUCGACUCCAUGAAGUUGGAAUCGCUAGUAAUCGCGGAUCAGCAUGUCGCGGUGAAUACGUUCCCGGGUCUUGUACACACCGCCCGUCACACCAUGGGAGCGGGUUUUACCAGAAGUGGGUAGCCUAACCGCAAGGAGGGCGCUCACCACGGUAGGAUUCGUGACUGGGGUG
Molecule: ribosomal RNA, 702 nt
Filed under: uncultured bacterium
Lineage: Bacteria
Description: bacterial SSU rRNA
Rfam family: Bacterial small subunit ribosomal RNA
Source: RNAcentral